UCUUAUCGUUUUAACAGCUGUGUGCUGUAAACGCAGACCCGUACGUACACCUUAACAUACAGUGCUGACAGUAACAAAUUGAACUUUCAACGCGUAAGGUGAUCGUGAUAUCGUAGGGGCAGUGUCAACCAUGGGUUGCGCCGGAUCAAAACACCAGGAGCCAAAGAAGGAGAAAAAGAAAUCCACUACCGAAAUAGUUACGGACGCGCAAGUUACAAACACAUCAGCGUUGCUAGUGACUAAGGAAACCAAAUUCACACAUCUAGUGCACAGUACAAUAAGCAGUGAAAACUUUCAAGUACAAACUGUAUCGUCAACUUCCAGGUAUGCGAACGUACAACAUAAUAUUCGUCUUACAAAGCUUUUUUCUCUAAUUUACAGCACUCAACCGGUGCAAUGUAACUAUGAUCUAUCAAACAAUGCCUAUGUGCUGGUGUUUCGCAAUGACAAGUUCGACCCCAUGCACAGCAGACAGGUUAGUGCAAAUGAUAUGAAACAAAUAAAAGAGUUUUGCCAGCACUAUCGAUGCGAUAGGCUUGACAUUAACGAAAAUAACACAAUAGCUGAAAUCAACAGUAAAAUGGAAGAAAUUUCCGAGAGAGAUUUCACCACAUACAGCUGCCUGAUCGUUUUCAUCAUGGGCAGUAAAUUUGGAAGUGCAACAAUCUUGGCAAAUGAUGGAGAAUAUUACUCCUUUAAACACUAUGUUCUGGAGUGUUGCACAACUAAUCGUACGCUGGACAUAAAACCCAAACUAUUUAUAAUACUAACUGGUGAACAAGACAAUACAACACCGUCCACCAUAGAAACUAUAAAACCGUGUAUGAGCUUUAAACUCGAUACGAUGAUUUUUGAGAGCUCGUACCAAGGAACUGCUUCAUUUCGAGACAUGAAAAAAGGUAAUUUUUUCAUGCAAUUUUUCCUCCGAUUAGUACACAAGCACAACAGAGAGAGUAUUAUGAAAAUCUACCCCCUGCUCUACCGGGAAUUUUUAAGAAGAUCCAUCCCGCAAACGCCAACGCUCACGACGACCUUGCGCAAGGAUCUAAUAUUAGGCCAUUUGCUCAAGCCCUGUGAGAAUAUGCCCACAAUUCCACACGAACCAUCUAUGUUACGAGAGGUUUACGACUUAUCAAAUGAUGCAUACGUGCUAGUGUUCCAUAACGAUGAAUUCGAAGACAGUGCUUUUAACCGGCCCGGAAGUGCAAAGGACAUGGAAAGAAUACAGCAAGUUUUGCAACAUUACCGUUGCGAUAAGCUUGAUAUCAAUGAAAACAAAUCAAAAGAAUAUGUGCAGCAAAAAAUGGCCGAAAUUUCACAAAAAGACUUCACCCCAUACAGCUGCCUGAUUGUGUUCAUCAUGAGCCACGGAAGUAUAAACGAUACAAUACUGGCUUCCGAUGGGAAGUGGUUUUACUUCCAGGAAGACAUCGUAGACAAAUGCACGUCAAACCGUACCUUUAAUGGUAAACCAAAACUACUUGUACUGCAGGCUUGCCGAGGAAACGAUCGAAUUGUGGUGGAUGCAAUACCCCCUAGGAGCGAUAAAGUAGAUCUGGUUAUUUUCCAAAGCACAUAUCAAGGUAAGAUCAGUUAAGGAUUGUAUAAAUAAUUAAUUUCAACUCAACUUAAUAUAACGGACAAACGUCAUUGCACCGCGAAAGAUCGCUUUAUCUCGGGAGUUUUCUCUAAAUACGAUUGUUUUCGAAUUUCAAAACGAAAUUUAAAACAAGAUAAAAAAAAAUCUUGCUUCGUUUUCCGGACAGAAUUAAAUACGCGUUUUAACGCAAUUCAGAUCACAAUAUGUUGAAACACUGUAUGUAUGUCACGUUGAUAGCUACUUCUAGAAUGAAUUCCGAUGUACUUCAAUGCACGUGGACGCCAUUACUAAAAAUUGUAGACAAAAUGACACUAGCGUUGGUUAUUAGUAAAACUGCUAAGGUGGUGAUGAACUGACCGGUAGAAAAUAUUUAUUUACUGAGGCAUCAAAGCAUACUAGGAGUCAUACACAUUUUUAAUCGAUUCUAAUACAUCAUGGUAAUCAUCUAAAAAUUUAAAAUCAGUAUGGCUAGGGAUAAAAUAUGAAGAAAUGAGUUAAAAACAUGCCAAAUGUCCGGAGUUUGACGUUGUUCGCAAUUUGAAUCAGAACGGUAGUUUAGUUUAAUCCUCAGGUUGUUGCAUGAUAACAAUCACAAAAACAUCAUCAACAUCAACACCCUGCUUAAUCAACAAUUCAGAGAGAGAAAAAUAGCCCAAGCACCCACAAUGACUGCGAGCUUGCGGAAAGACUUGAUAUUUGGUAAUCUUUUACGAUAGCCUUGGAAGUGAUGGAUUCUAUCGUACAUUGUUAUGUAAUACUAUGGAACACAGUCUUUGACAAUGUGCAGCUACGAUAAACAAGACACAGCAUUACUAUUUCAUUUUUCAAUGGAAAACCUGGGUUUAGGUGCCGUAGUAUUUCGUAGACAAUAAUUAAAAGCUUAUUUUAUCAGCAGACUCUCAAGGAAUUAAAACAUUCGUUCGGCAUUGGUAGUUUUAUCGCAUAUUAUUGUCAUUUUGAUUGCCAUUUGGAAUUUAAUACCUCAACAAAUCCAUUAUAAUGAUAUUGUCAUCAAUAAGAGAGUAGACCAGCCCUGUAAUAAGAUAAAAUGCUACAGUGAGCGAAAGGUAAAGUAACAUCUAAAGGAAUUUCUUUUCCUUUGGUUUAUUUGACUACCUAGUGGCUAAACAAAGUUGCUUAUGAUCUAUCAUUAAGAAAAUGAUGGAAAAUAGAGGAAAAAGACCAACAGAUGAAGAGUUGAAAGAGAGUGUCAGUUUGAGCUAGCGAGUGAUCGGAGUCCGGAUUUAAAUGACUCUGAAGAAAUGCAGAGAUCUAACAAGUCGGAGAAUUCGUAAAAUUUACGAAUGCAUACUAAUAUUGCAUACUAAUUUGAGCCGGUCUCGUAGUACAGUCGUCAACUCGUACGACAUAACAACAUGCCCGUCAUGGGUUCAAUCCCCAAAUAGACCGCGCCGCCAUACGUAGGACUGACUAUCCUGCUAUGGGGGGGGGGGGGGGAAACAAUUAGUCACUGAAAGCCAAAGCCCACAAGUUUGGUACAGGCAGGCCUUGACCGACAUCGUUUGUUGAGCCAAAGAAGAAGAAGAAGACUAAUAACGGAUCGCUCAUACCGAAUUGCGUUCCUCGUCUGGGCAGGGAGUGGGGAUAGUAGAGGCCGAUUUCGCAACAAACAGGAAGGAACAUAAAAGUUAAUAGAGCAAAUAAGGGGCUUCGACUUGGAAAAGAAAGAUAGAGACAAUGAAAAAGGACUGCGCGUGGUUUCUACAAACUUUGAGAGUCUCAAACCCGAGGAAGCAAAGGAGAACAGGAUAAAGAGGGAGUUCGUAGGAAGGACCGUCGAUUUUAGAGCAAAACUCAAACGCUUUUUGCGCCGACGUCAAAACGUUUAGAGGCGCAAUCGUCGACUCGGACCUGAUUAUGGUAAAGCUGCAUCAGAAGGCUGACCUAACGGAGUCAGCCGUUCCCAAUGCUUAAUCUGGACCAGCUACAGCGUGCUGAUGUGACGGAGUGAACAGCACACAGGACGCGCUUCUAGCCAAGAACAACAUUGCCGCGAUGCCCCUCGCAGAUCACUGACGAAUGUUGACACGAGACAUGAGCAUCGCAGCCGACCUAAAGAUCGACUGCUUACCAUGUAGAGAGCAAAAUGAAUAGUUCAACGAAGAGUGCUUGAACACUUCUCACGCUCAUUUCUGCGAUAUGCUUGCAAAUAUUUGCAAUAUGCUCCACUAUGUUAAAUAAAUAGGACUGCAAUACGAAAUCAUCGUAAAAUCAACGGCACAUAGCGCCCUAAAAUCUUGUACAUUUCACAUGAUAGCUGCAUUCCAAACCGAAGCGCAUCUUAUUAGCAGAUGAUAGCCAAUUCACAACAUUACUUCUGUCUGGAUACAUGAAAACAUACUUUGAAUAAAAAAAAAGGUUU
Molecule: RNA transcript, 3983 nt
Organism: Anopheles coluzzii
Lineage: Eukaryota; Metazoa; Arthropoda; Insecta; Diptera; Culicidae
Exons: 7
Source: RefSeq, a predicted model, not a curated record